RNA transcript from Hypanus sabinus (Atlantic stingray), 4743 nucleotides. It is a transcript of the gene named cell division cycle 27, with no coding region annotated. The record is from RefSeq and is a predicted model, not a curated record. NCBI's taxonomy places the organism in Eukaryota, Metazoa, Chordata, Chondrichthyes, Myliobatiformes, Dasyatidae. The transcript is spliced from 20 exons.
UCCGGCCACGCUCGGGUUCGGUCGCUGUCGUGUUGCCGGCCGUUGGGCUCCGGCAGCUGUUUAAAUUUGAACCGACUCCGGCCUGCGUUGUGUGGGAUGACAAAGUGUGUUGCUGGUUCUGUGUUCAUUGAAAGUCGUUGAUGAUGACGGUGUUGCAGGAACCUGUUCAGGCUGCUAUUUGGCAUGCACUUAACCACUAUGCUUAUCGGGAUGCGGUCUUCCUUGCAGAAAGACUCUAUGCUGAAGUUUGUUCUGAAGAAGCUCUAUUUCUCUUGGCAACCUGUUACUAUCGCUCAGGGAAAGCAUACAAAGCCUACCGGCUUUUGAAAACUCAUAGCUGUACUACUCCUCAGUGCAAGUACCUUCUUGCCAGAUGUUGUAUGGAUAUCAGCAAACCAGCAGAGGGAGAACAGAUUUUAGCUGGUGGAAUACUGAACAAACAGAAAAGCCAUGAUGAUAUUAUUACGGAGUUUGGAGAUUCAGCUUGUUUUACAUUGUCUUUAUUAGGACAUAUAUACUGUAAAACAGAUCGAAUGGCCAAAGGAGCAGACUGUUACCAAAAAAGCCUUAGUCUAAAUCCCUUUCUUUGGUCCCCUUUCGAAUCGUUAUGUGAAAUAGGUGAAAAACCAGAUCCUGAUCAGACAUUUAAAUUGACAUCUCUCCAGAAUUUUAGUAGUUAUCAGCCAAGUUUAUGUAUGCCUUUGUCUUUGAAUCAUGGUGUCCAACAUAACAGGCAACCUGACACUGUCCUGAUGGAAACACCACAAGACACUAUUGAGUUAAACAGAUUAAAUCUUGAAUCUUCAGCCAACUCAAAAUAUUCCUCAAUGAUGACUGAUUCUUCAGCAUCAUUAAUUGACACAUCUGUGAUUUCUCCUGAUGCUCUACCACUUGGUUCUGGAACAUCAGUUUUAUCCAAACAACAAGUAAACAAGCCAAAGUCUGGAAGGAGCUUGCUUGGUGGUCCUGGAACUCUAAGCCCCUUAACACCAAGCUUUGGAGUUUUGCCCUUGGAUACCCCAAGCCCAGGUGAUGGGUCCUUUUUGCCAAACUAUACAAAUUCUUCUGUAAUUGAUUCAUCCUCCACAGUGGCUCCCACAAAAAAGUCUGUAGCCAGAAUAAUGCAAGGUGGAACCAAGUCUGUAUUUGCACAGAGUGGAAACAGCCGUGAUGUAACUCCAAUUCCUCUGACUCAGACGCAGACUUCAGGCCCACAGACCAGUGCAGCGCAGGUACUAUUUCCAACAAGCACAGCCCCUACAAAUGCACCACCCCGCCGAAGUUCCAGGCUCUUUACAAGUGCCAGUUCAACUACAAAGGAGAAUAGUAAAAAGCUGAAGAUGAAGUUUCCAACUAAAAUUCCCAACAGAAAGCCAAAAAACAAAACCAGUAAAGGAGGUAUAACACAGCCAAACCUCAACGACAGCUUGGAAAUCAGUAAGCUUGACUCGGUGAUCCCUGAAGGCAAAAUCUCCUCAGUCACACCUCAAAUGCAGGCCUUCAAUAUACAAAAAGCAGCUGCAGAUGGACUGAUGAACCUUCUGCGUGAGAUGGGGAAAGGAUAUUUGGCACUUUGUUCUUACAGCUGUAAGGAAGCAAUUGGUAUCCUGAGUCAGUUGCCUUCACAUCACUACAACACUGGUUGGGUACUGUGUCAAAUAGGAAGAGCACAUUUUGAGCUGGCUGAAUACAUGCAGGCAGAGAGGAUAUUUUCAGAAGUGAGGCGUAUUGAAAGCUAUCGAGUGGAAGGUAUGGAGAUUUAUUCCACCACAUUGUGGCACCUGCAGAAGGAUGUCUCGCUUUCCCUUCUUUCCAAGGAUCUCACAGAAAUGGAUAAAAAUACACCAGAGGCUUGGUGUGCAGCAGGGAACUGCUUCAGCUUGCAGCGAGAGCAUGAUAUAGCAAUCAAGUUCUUCCAGAGAGCCAUUCAAGUAGAUCCAAACUUUGCUUAUGCAUACACUUUGCUUGGUCACGAGUUUGUAUUAACAGAAGAGUUGGACAAAGCUUUGGCCUGUUUUCGAAAUGCAAUUCGUGUAAACUCUCAGCACUAUAAUGCCUGGUAUGGUUUGGGGAUGAUCUACUAUAAGCAAGAGAAGUUCAAUCUAGCAGAAAUUCAUUUCCGAAAGGCUCUCAAUAUCAACCCCCAAAGUUCUGUGUUACUAUGCCACAUUGGUGUGGUCCAGCAUGCGUUAAAGAAAUCAGAGAGUGCACUUGAAACACUAAAUAAAGCCAUAAGUAUAGAUCCCAAAAAUCCCCUAUGCAAAUUCCACCGAGCCUCCAUUUUGUUUGCAAAUGAGAAGUACAAGGCAGCUUUGCAGGAGCUUGAAGAACUGAAGCAAAUUGUUCCCAAAGAGUCACUUGUAUACUUUCUAAUAGGAAAGGUUUAUAAGAAAUUAGGGCAGACGCACUUGGCUCUGAUGAAUUUCUCCUGGGCCAUGGACCUUGAUCCAAAAGGAGCCAACAACCAGAUCAAAGAGGCUAUUGACAAACGUUACUUACCAGAUGAUGAGGAGCCUGUAACAAAUGAUGGGCAACAUAGUGAGGGUUAUCAGUAUGACACAGCUGGAACUGAUGAGUCCCAGGAAAGCAGCAUGACUGAUGCUGAUGACACCCAGUUACAUGCGGCGGAAAGUGAUGAGAGCUUCAAUCUGUAAAUGCUAACCCAACCAAAACAUGGCUCCAGAGCAAGAGCUGCUACUCCCUGGCCAUUCCCUUUCUUCUCUCUCACUAGCAAGACCAAGGAGCUGAUUAUUGUCUUCAGGAGGAGGAAACCAAAGGUCCAUGAGCCAGUCUUCAUCAGAGGAUCAGAGAUGGAGAGGAUCAGCAACUUUAAAUUCCUCGGUGUUAUCAUUUCAGAGGACCUGUCCUGGGCCCAGCACACAAGUGAAACUAUGAAGAAAGCACAGCAGCACCUCUAAUUCCUAGGGAAUUUGUGAAGAUUCAGCAUGUCAUCUAAAACUUUGACAAACUUCUAUAGAUAUGUGGAAGAGAGUAUAUUGAUUGGCUGCAUCACAACCUGGUAUGGAAACACCAAUACCCUUGAACAGAAAAUCUUGCAAAAAGCAAUGGUUAUGGCUCAGUUAUUACGGGUAAAGGCCUCCCCAUUAUUGAGCACAUCUACAUGAAGCAUUGUCACAGAAAAGCAGCAUCUAUCAUCAGGAACUCCCCACCAUCCAGGCCAGGCUCUCUUCUUGCUGCUGCCAUCAGGAAAGUGGUACAGGAGCCUGAGGACUCACCACCAGGUUCAGGAACAGUUAUUACCCCUCAACCAUCAGGCUCUUGAACCAGAGGAAAUAACUUCACUCAACUUUACUUGCCUCAUCACUGAACUGUUCCCACAAUGUGUGGGCACACUUUCAAGGACUCAUCUCGUGUUCUCAAAAUGUAUUGCUUAUUUAUUUAUUAUUAUUGUUUCUUUCUUUUUGUAUUUGCAGUUUAUUGUCUUUUGCAGAUUGAUUGAUUGUAUGCCUGUUGGUGUGGUCUUUCAUUGAUUCUAUUAUGGUUAAUUGGAUUUGUUGAGCAAGAAAAGAAUCGCAGGGUUGUAUAUGGUGUCAUAUAUGUACUAAUAAAUUUGCAUUGAAUCUUGAACUUAAAGUUUCAAAGGGAUCUUCAUGUUUCCCAAGUCUGCUAUUUUGUCCCCACCACUUCUCAUCUUCUGACACCUUUCCCUGAAACUGCAGAAGAUGCAGUACCUCUUCCCUUCCUGGUGUACUGCUAAUGUGUUUAGUGUGGUCUCCUCAGCAUCGGAGAAACCAAACAUAGAAUGGGUAGUUGUGGAGCACAUAUGCGGGCUGCAGGGGUGUCUCAGAGCCAUUUUAAUAUUCUGUCCCACUCCCACUUUGUCUGUGGUGUCCUACUCUGCUACAAGAGGCACAAUGUAAACUUGAGGACUAUUGUCUGUCUGGGCUGCAGAUUUAGUUAUUGAACUGAUGGAGCUCACAUACUCAAACUUUCUCCAGCUGCAUCAGUCCUACCAUUACUGCCAUAAGUCACUGCUUUUAUCUGACUUUUACUUUCCUCAUUAGCACAGCCUCGCUUGUCCAGAAUGUCCUACAGCCCUGCACUUCACAACCAGGCUGGUUUGCACUGUCAUGCUUUGAUUGUCCUCAGUGGCCAAGGGAAACUCCGCAAUUCAACCCAACAAUAACCCUGAUGUUGUCUGAUCAGAAAUGUUUCCUCCAUCCCAUUCAUUCCUUGUCACUUUCCCACUUCUGAUUAAGUUCGGUUAGUUCAGUUUUUCACUCUCUCUCUCUCCUUUCCAUCUCUCCCAGAUGCCGCUUGUCUUACUGUGUGCUUCUGGUAUACCCUCUUUUAAUUCCAUAGUUUGGGCACCUGCAUUGUUUUUAAAUUUUCUCAGUAAUAGCCUCUGGACUCAGCUCUAGGUUCAGGAACACUUAAUACCCCUGAAGCACCAGGCUCUUGAACAAAAGGGGAUAACUUCACUCAACUUCACUUGCCCCAUCACUGGCAUGUUCCCACACUCUAUGAACUUGCUUUCAAAGGCUAGUCUCAUGUUCUCAAUAUUUAUUGCUUAUUUAUUUCUUGUUGUUAUUUCUUUCUUUUUGUAUUUGCUCAAUUUGUUGUCUUUUGCGUUCUGUUUGAAUGCUCAAGUUGGUGUGGUCUUUUGUAAUUUUAUGAUGGUUAUUAUUCUAUUAUGAAUUUAUUGAGUAUGUCCACAAGAAAAUGAAUCUCAGGGUUAUAUAUGGUGGCGUAUAUGUACUUUGAUAAUAAAUUUACUUUGAA